GGACUACCCGGGUAUCUAAUCCCGUUUGCUCCCCUGGCUUUCGCGCCUCAGCGUCAGAAAGGGUCCAGCACCUCGCCUUCGCCACCGGAGUUCCGGUCGAUAUCAACGCAUUUCACCGCUCCACCGACCGUUCCAGAUGCCCCUACCCUCCUCAAGAUGUGCAGUAUCCACGGCACUUCUCCAGUUAAGCUGGAGGAUUUCACCGCAGACUUUCACACCCGCCUACGCGCCCUUUAAGCCCAGUGAUUCCGAACAACGUUCGCUCGGUUCGUCUUACCGCGGCUGCUGGCAC
Molecule: ribosomal RNA, 292 nt
Filed under: uncultured Planctomycetota bacterium
Lineage: Bacteria; Pseudomonadati; Planctomycetota
Description: uncultured planctomycete partial 16S ribosomal RNA
Source: RNAcentral